Long non-coding RNA from Cloeon dipterum, 2679 nucleotides. RefSeq lists it as uncharacterized. Lineage: Eukaryota; Metazoa; Arthropoda; Insecta; Ephemeroptera; Baetidae. The record is from RefSeq and is a predicted model, not a curated record. The transcript has 3 exons.
CCCAGUGGCCAUCCACGUUGCCACCACGAAACCUCGUCCGUGGAUUUUACGUGGAUGAGUUCCACGAACCUAUUUCGACAUUUUUUCUAGUGCACUCAUUUAAAAAUACUUUCCCUUUCGAUGUUUGACCAUUUUUGAGCAGAUUUAGUUUGAAUUUUUGGGUUUUUAGGGUAAAAUUAAUGUCCGUGGAACUCACGUGGAUGAUCCCCGCAAUUUCCCAAAUUGAGUUUUUGAAGCUCUUUUUGUGCCUAAAUUAUCGGUAAAUGAAUUAAUUGCUCCUCUAAAGCUAUUUCAUUUAACUUUUUUUUAAUUUUUUUGUAAAUUUUACUUCGUGGAAGGGUCUCCGUGGAUGCUCCGUGGAUGUUCCGCGGACGAUCCACGGAACUCCGUGGAUGCUCCGUGGAACUUACGUGGAUGAUCCCCAAUUUCCCCAAAUCGUGUUUUUCAUUACUCUUUUGUGUCUAAAUUAUCAGUAAAUGAAUUUAAAGUGCUCAUCCAAAACUAGUUUAGUUGAUUUUUUUUUAAAUUUUGUAAAAUUUCCCAGCGUGGAAAAUUUUUCGUGGAUGCUCCGUGGAACUCACGUGGAUGAUCCCCAAUUUCCCUAAAUCGUGUUUUUAAAACACUUUUUUUUUGUCUAAAAAUUAUCGGUAAAUGAAUUAAGUGCUCCGCCAAAGCUAUUUUAUUUAAUUUUUUAUUAUUUUUUAAAAUUUUACUUCAUGGAAAGGUCUUCGUGGAUGCUCCGUGGAUGCUCCGCGGAUGAUCCACGGAACUCCGUGGAACUCACGUGGAUGAUCCCGAAUUUCCCAAAAUCAUGUAUUUAUAACAAAUAUUUGUCUAAAUAAUCAGUAAAUGAAUAAAGUGCUCCUCCAAAACUAUUUUAUUUGAUUUUUCUUUAAAAUUAUGCGUAAUUUCACUUCGUGGUAAGGUCUCCGUGGAUGCUCCGUGGAUGCUCCGCGAAUGAUCCACGGAACUCUUAACGCAAAAAUGGAAAAUAGCACGUUUGAAGCAAAUUGUUCAGUUCAUAAGCUGCCCCUUAUCGCUUUUCUAAAUUCAUUAGUCACGUCGUUCUUGCUUAAAUUUCUAAAUUUUGGAAAUUGGUUAAGUGUCCGUGGAGUUUUCGUGGAUGAAUACCCGGACACUUAAAAACAUUUUUGGUUCGUUGGUAUUUCUUAGGUUAAUUAAAUUUUCAUUUUUAAUUAAUAAAUCAUCAUAAAAGUUAAUUACGAGCUCAGAAAACUCAAUAUUUUCAAAUAUAUUCCAAAAUCUAAACUCGCCACCUCGCCAGAAUAGCCACUGCUGCGAUUCAAACUUUUGGAAAGCGCGCGCACUCUCACUAGCCGCAGCGAGCCAAUGAGCGUUGCGCUUGGCUGUUACUGCUGUUUGUUGACAGACGCAGACGGCCGACGACCGCGAGCGCGCGCGAUCUGAGCGCAACGGAAAAGCCGUUGGGCAACGCCGCCGCGUAAUUAAUGUCAGUUUUCGGCCGCAAAUUCUUCCCCAAGUCGUCCAGCAAUAUUCUUAUGAUGUCGCGGUGAUUGCUGUGAAAUACGAAUCAAGUUCAACCGUCCCAGCAAACAUGCCGCAAAUCAAAGAAGAUCCGUGCCCGCGGCUUGCUUUUGUGGCAGUUGUUGCGAGCUAAGGAGGCAAGCUCGUCGAACCAGUGGCGUGGCUGGCUCAAUUGUCCGCAUUGCUCUCCUCUGGAAUUGUCUGGGAGUCUGACAACAGCAAAACAGAGCUGAGAAGCUGACGGAGGCUUCAUAUCUUCGCUGUCACCGUUCCAGUCUUGAGUCUGCUGGUGCUUCUGGACUCGGAUGGAAUCAAUGCGACUCGAGUUCGAGACGAAUAGCUACGUGUGACAGGACGGACAGGUCUUGGAAAUGCUGGACCACUACUUUGAAGAAGAUUGAGUGUGGUACUGUGUAUUGUGUUUUUAAAUGGGUCUAUUUUUGAGCUCAAUUGUUGUAGUUUAUACAUAAUUCAUUUUAAGGCUAAUUAUGUUGCAUACAUAUACUUGUAUUGACUGUAAUAAUGUUUGUAUUACAAUUAAAUCAAAUUUUCUUGCAUGAAAGUUUUGGCAGGUUCAUAUUUUAAAUUAAAGCCAUUAUAAGUUUUAAAUUCACCAUUUUUUGCAAAAGCCUCUAGUGUUCGAAGUCAGCGCAGCCAUAUAUAUGUACUUCCAAGUUUCAUACCCAUGCACUUUGGUUAAGGAUUUAAUUCUACUGAUUUAUUUUCCGGAUUUUAAAUUAUUUAUUUUGAAUCUGAAAACCAAAAUCAGUUUAGCCAAUCUCCGUAUAAACAUGUAAAUAAUAUUUGAACAAAUUUGACGUUUUUACGGUGAUUGGCUAGACUGACUUAUGUUUUUAGCACAUCAAAUCAAAUCAAUUAAAGGGUUUUAAACGCAGAGUGGCAUGAUCGUGUCUUUAUUCUCAGUGGAAGUGCAUUAAAAUCAAAGUAGCAGUUGGCGCCAGACAGCCACUAAGGGGUUUUUGAAACUGUUGAAUGUUCAACAAUUUUAGCUUUUUUAAAUUGAUUGUCAUCUCUUGUUCCUCAUCACCUUAUGGCAACAACCAACAACUGUAAAUUGAUAAAAUUAUCUGUAUCGAUCGAUUGUUAAUGUGUAUUUAUGUAAUAUUUUUGUAAAAGAAAUAGUAUAAAUAAAUAACAAUUUUAAAAUUCAAA